RNAcentral lists this ribosomal RNA (3940 nucleotides) under Drosophila melanogaster (fruit fly). Its description in RNAcentral is "eukaryotic LSU rRNA". The stretch from base 576 to 3788 matches the Rfam family "Eukaryotic large subunit ribosomal RNA". The record is from RNAcentral. Lineage: Eukaryota; Metazoa; Arthropoda; Insecta; Diptera; Drosophilidae.
AAAACUCUAAGCGGUGGAUCACUCGGCUCAUGGGUCGAUGAAGAACGCAGCAAACUGUGCGUCAUCGUGUGAACUGCAGGACACAUGAACAUCGACAUUUUGAACGCAUAUCGCAGUCCAUGCUGUUAUGUACUUUAAUUAAUUUUAUAGUGCUGCUUGGACUACAUAUGGUUGAGGGUUGUAAGACUAUGCUAAUUAAGUUGCUUAUAAAUUUUUAUAAGCAUAUGGUAUAUUAUUGGAUAAAUAUAAUAAUUUUUAUUCAUAAUAUUAAAAAAUAAAUGAAAAACAUUAUCUCACAUUUGAAUGUGAAAAACGAAGAGAAAUAUUUUCUUUUUCAAUCAAAUAAUACUGAGAAAUGUCUAGCAUAAAAAAUUGAAAUAUUUUUCAUCUAGAAUUGUCUCUUAUUAAUGAUUCGGAAAUAGAAAAAUCUUGGUUAUGUUAUUAUUCUUCGUUGGUUCGUUAAAAAUGGAUAAAUAAAAACUUUGCAUACAAGAAUUAAUAAAAAUGUUAUAACGAAUUUAAUUAAAUGUUUUAUCAUUAUAUAUAAAGAAUUUAUGGCAAGAUAAAGUUAUAUACAACCUCAACUCAUAUGGGACUACCCCCUGAAUUUAAGCAUAUUAAUUAGGGGAGGAAAAGAAACUAACAAGGAUUUUCUUAGUAGCGGCGAGCGAAAAGAAAACAGUUCAGCACUAAGUCACUUUGUCUAUAUGGCAAAUGUGAGAUGCAGUGUAUGGAGCGUCAAUAUUCUAGUAUGAGAAAUUAACGAUUUAAGUCCUUCUUAAAUGAGGCCAUUUACCCAUAGAGGGUGCCGUGAGGGAAAGUUGAAAAGAACUCUGAAUAGAGAGUUAAACCAGUACGUGAAACUGCUUAGAGGUUAAGCCCGAUGAACCUGAAUAUCCGUUAUGGAAAAUUCAUCAUUAAAAUUGUAAUAUUUAAAUAAUAUUAUGAGAAUAGUGUGCAUUUUUUUCCAUAUAAGGACAUUGUAAUCUAUUAGCAUAUACCAAAUUUAUCAUAAAAUAUAACUUAUAGUUUAUUCCAAUUAAAUUGCUUGCAUUUUAACACAGAAUAAAUGUUAUUAAUUUGAUAAAGUGCUGAUAGAUUUAUAUGAUUACAGUGCGUUAAUUUUUCGGAAUUAUAUAAUGGCAUAAUUAUCAUUGAUUUUUGUGUUUAUUAUAUGCACUUGUAUGAUUAACAAUGCGAAAGAUUCAGGAUACCUUCGGGACCCGUCUUGAAACACGGACCAAGGAGUCUAACAUAUGUGCAAGUUAUUGGGAUAUAAACCUAAUAGCGUAAUUAACUUGACUAAUAAUGGGAUUAGUUUUUUAGCUAUUUAUAGCUAAUUAACACAAUCCCGGGGCGUUCUAUAUAGUUAUGUAUAAUGUAUAUUUAUAUUAUUUAUGCCUCUAACUGGAACGUACCUUGAGCAUAUAUGCUGUGACCCGAAAGAUGGUGAACUAUACUUGAUCAGGUUGAAGUCAGGGGAAACCCUGAUGGAAGACCGAAACAGUUCUGACGUGCAAAUCGAUUGUCAGAAUUGAGUAUAGGGGCGAAAGACCAAUCGAACCAUCUAGUAGCUGGUUCCUUCCGAAGUUUCCCUCAGGAUAGCUGGUGCAUUUUAAUAUUAUAUAAAAUAAUCUUAUCUGGUAAAGCGAAUGAUUAGAGGCCUUAGGGUCGAAACGAUCUUAACCUAUUCUCAAACUUUAAAUGGGUAAGAACCUUAACUUUCUUGAUAUGAAGUUCAAGGUUAUGAUAUAAUGUGCCCAGUGGGCCACUUUUGGUAAGCAGAACUGGCGCUGUGGGAUGAACCAAACGUAAUGUUACGGUGCCCAAAUUAACAACUCAUGCAGAUACCAUGAAAGGCGUUGGUUGCUUAAAACAGCAGGACGGUGAUCAUGGAAGUCGAAAUCCUCUAAGGAGUGUGUAACAACUCACCUGCCGAAGCAACUAGCCCUUAAAAUGGAUGGCGCUUAAGUUGUAUACCUAUACAUUACCGCUAAAGUAGAUGAUUUAUAUUACUUGUGAUAUAAAUUUUGAAACUUUAGUGAGUAGGAAGGUACAAUGGUAUGCGUAGAAGUGUUUGGCGUAAGCCUGCAUGGAGCUGCCAUUGGUACAGAUCUUGGUGGUAGUAGCAAAUAAUCGAAUGAGACCUUGGAGGACUGAAGUGGAGAAGGGUUUCGUGUGAACAGUGGUUGAUCACGAGUUAGUCGGUCCUAAGUUCAAGGCGAAAGCCGAAAAUUUUCAAGUAAAACAAAAAUGCCUAACUAUAUAAACAAAGCGAAUUAUAAUACACUUGAAUAAUUUUGAACGAAAGGGAAUACGGUUCCAAUUCCGUAACCUGUUGAGUAUCCGUUUGUUAUUAAAUAUGGGCCUCGUGCUCAUCCUGGCAACAGGAACGACCAUAAAGAAGCCGUCGAGAGAUAUCGGAAGAGUUUUCUUUUCUGUUUUAUAGCCGUACUACCAUGGAAGUCUUUCGCAGAGAGAUAUGGUAGAUGGGCUAGAAGAGCAUGACAUAUACUGUUGUGUCGAUAUUUUCUCCUCGGACCUUGAAAAUUUAUGGUGGGGACACGCAAACUUCUCAACAGGCCGUACCAAUAUCCGCAGCUGGUCUCCAAGGUGAAGAGUCUCUAGUCGAUAGAAUAAUGUAGGUAAGGGAAGUCGGCAAAUUAGAUCCGUAACUUCGGGAUAAGGAUUGGCUCUGAAGAUUGAGAUAGUCGGGCUUGAUUGGGAAACAAUAACAUGGUUUAUGUGCUCGUUCUGGGUAAAUAGAGUUUCUAGCAUUUAUGUUAGUUACUUGUUCCCGGAUAGUUUAGUUACGUAGCCAAUUGUGGAACUUUCUUGCUAAAAUUUUUAAGAAUACUAUUUGGGUUAAACCAAUUAGUUCUUAUUAAUUAUAACGAUUAUCAAUUAACAAUCAAUUCAGAACUGGCACGGACUUGGGGAAUCCGACUGUCUAAUUAAAACAAAGCAUUGUGAUGGCCCUAGCGGGUGUUGACACAAUGUGAUUUCUGCCCAGUGCUCUGAAUGUCAAAGUGAAGAAAUUCAAGUAAGCGCCAAAUGCCUCGUCAUCUAAUUAGUGACGCGCAUGAAUGGAUUAACGAGAUUCCUACUGUCCCUAUCUACUAUCUAGCGAAACCACAGCCAAGGGAACGGGCUUGGAAUAAUUAGCGGGGAAAGAAGACCCUUUUGAGCUUGACUCUAAUCUGGCAGUGUAAGGAGACAUAAGAGGUGCAGAAUAAGUGGGAGAUAUUAGACCUCGGUUUGGUAUCGUCAAUGAAAUACCACUACUCUUAUUGUUUCCUUACUUACUUGAUUAAAUGGAACGUGUAUCAUUUCCUAGCCAUUAUACGGAUAUAUUUAUUAUAUCUUAUGGUAUUGGGUUUUGAUGCAAGCUUCUUGAUCAAAGUAUCACGAGUUUGUUAUAUAAUCGCAAACAAAUUCUUUAAUAAAACGAUGCAUUUAUGUAUUUUUGAUUUGAAAAUUUGGUAUAACUCCAAUUACUCAGGUAUGAUCCAAUUCAAGGAAGCAAAAUUCACCAAGCGUUGGAUUGUUCACCCAUGCAAGGGAACGUGAGCUGGGUUUAGACCGUCGUGAGACAGGUUAGUUUUACCCUACUAAUGACAAAACGUUGUUGCGACAGCAUUCCUGCGUAGUACGAGAGGAACCGCAGGUACGGACCAAUGGCACAAUACUUGUUCGAGCGAACAGUGGUAUGACGCUACGUCCGUUGGAUUAUGCCUGAACGCCUCUAAGGUCGUAUCCGUGCUGGACUGCAAUGAUAAAUAAGGGGCAAUUUGCAUUGUAUGGCUUCUAAACCAUUUAAAGUUUAUAAUUUACUUUAUAAACGACAAUGGAUGUGAUGCCAAUGUAAUUUGUAACAUAGUAAAUUGGGAGGAUCUUCGAUCACCUGAUGCCGCGCUAGUUACAUAUAAAAGCAUUAUUU